This 433-nucleotide ribosomal RNA is filed under the name uncultured bacterium. RNAcentral describes it as "partial 16S ribosomal RNA". It matches the Rfam family "Bacterial small subunit ribosomal RNA", at positions 29 to 507 of the family's 1533-position model. The record is from RNAcentral.
AACGAACGCUGGCGGCAUGCCUAACACAUGCAAGUCGAACGAGACCUUCGGGUCUAGUGGCGCACGGGUGCGUAACGCGUGGGAACCUGCCCUUAGGUUCGGAAUAACUCCCCGAAAGGGGUGCUAAUACCGGAUAAUGUCUUCGGACCAAGGAUUUAUCGCCUUUGGAUGGGCCCGCGUUGGAUUAGCUAGUUGGUAGGGUAAAAGCCUACCAAGGCGACGAUCCAUAGCUGGUCUGAGAGGAUGAUCAGCCACACUGGGACUGAGACCCGGCCCAGACUCCUACGGGAGGCAGCAGUGGGGAAUAUUGGACAAUGGGCGAAAGCCUGAUCCAGCAAUGCCGCGUGAGUGAUGAAGGCCUUAGGGUUGUAAAGCUCUUUUACCCGGGAUGAUAAUGACAGUACCGGGAGAAUAAGCUCCGGCUAACUCCGUG